UUGGAUUUAGCUCCAGUAACUAUAAAUAAUGACAUACAGCAAAUGAUGUUGAGCAAUAAGAAAAAAAUCAGAUAAUUUAGAUAUUGUAAAGUAAUUGAUUGAAAAAGAGACAAUUGAAAAAAUAGGGUAUUUUUAAAUGUUUGAAGGUGCUGAUAAUUAUCUCAUUUUAACUAUAAUGUAUUAAUUCAGAAAUAAAUUAUGCAGUGGUAGAAUAGUUUGAUAUUAAAGUAUUAUAGUAAGGUAGUACAGAAUCAGGUAUCAUUCCCACACUGUAGAUGAAAAUGUGGGUGUAAUAUUUUAAAGGAAAUUUAGUAACAUUUGUUAAAAUGUAAAAUAAUAAUAUUUGACUCCAAAUUCUACUUUAUGUAUUCUUACAUGUGCACAAAAUUAUUUAUUUUUAAGCAAAGAGAAUUUUGACAGUUUUGAUGGUUUUAAGUGCAAAUACAUAUAUUUCUGUAAUGGAAUUAUGUAUAGUUUUCAGAAUCAGUAGAGUUGUGCUGAUAUGGAAAUAUCAUCAAGAACUAUUUUAAAAUGAAAAUAACAAGGUUCAGAAUAGUUAGUAGUUAGUAUCACUUGUACUUUAAAUGCAUGCUUUCAUACACACACACACACACACACACACACACACGUGCCGUGGAUAUAUGUAUAUUCAAGUGGCACAUACAUAUAUCUAUUUGUGUACAAAUGAAGAUAUUAACUUCUAUAUAAGUUUUUGUUUCUCAGGGAAAACUUUAUAAGGGAUACAAGAAGACAUUAUUUUCAGUAAGUGUAACUUAGUAUUUUGCAGCUGAAAGGAAGCUCACACUUUAUAGAUAUUUUUUUGUUGUGUUUCAGAUACCGCUUGAGCCACAUCCCCAGCCCAAUCAUGACUUUAAUUUUAUAGAAGCUCAACUCAUCUUGCAAAGUAUUCCUUAUUUCCUGGUUAAAAUGUACAUAUUAUGCAGUUACUAUAUACAAGCACUUUCUGAGGAAUGAGGAUGCAUCAAAUAACAAAGGAGAUAUUCUCUUGUCCUCAUGGAACUUAUACUUUAAAAAGGAUGCUAUAAGUAGUAUCAUCAUAAUCUAAAUUGCCACCUUUCUUGCCUGGAAUGCAGCAACAGUGACUUCCACGAAGGUUGGGUCAUUUGGCGAGUUCUAGCCAACUGAAUAAAACAGGAAAUGAUAUGGCAUAUCUGGUCCAAGUCAGUGAAGAGCAAGUAUACUUUUUCUACAUUACUUCCCUUCCCUAAAUCUGUUGGUGAAAGAUACACUUAGACCAUUGGACUUCAAGUGGACCCUGAAAUCUGAAGUUGAAAAUCGUCAAGUUACCAUAAAAGGAGUUUGGAUCUCUGAAUGCCUACAUGAAGCAAAGUAAAGCUGUUUUCUUUCCCUGGAUAAUCAUGAUUUAGAAAGAUAUAAAAUUUUACUAUGCUAAGUCACUGAUAUCUUGUAGUUAUUACAGGUACUAAUGUAACUUGUCUGAAUAUAGACACUUCUAAUUUUUCUUUUCUUAUCCAUCUCCUAGUUACUUUGAAAGAAUAAUUUUUAAUAUUUUAUGGGUUGAAUUAUGUAGUAUAUAUCAUUCACAGUAGAAAAAAACAAAUGUACCUCUUUUUUUCUAUAUCUUCUCUGAUUUCUCAUCUAUAAGUACUAUUCUAUGGUACUAGCUAUUUGGAGUAGUAUUUACUGAAAUACUAUACCACAAAGUUGAAGUCACCAUUAUUUUAAUUCAGUUCUUAAAUCUUAUCACUUAUGAUUAAUACUAUUCUUAAGUUAAAAUUAGUGAAGUUAUAAAAUAAAUGUCUGCAAGUUGAAUAUAAAAAUUAGUUAAUAGAUUUUGUUUAUAUCAAAUAGAAUAAAACCAUUAUAAUAUUUGAUGUUGACUUGCUAGCAUUAUUAUGUAUUUAGGACACACAAAUGAUUUCUUUUUAGUUUUUUCUUCAAUCUAUCUCAAUUUAUGGAUAUUCUUCAUAAAUUUGUAAAUAUAAAAUGUAAUACUUCUUUGUAUUAAAUGUGGUGUUUGAGUGAAAAAUUCAAUUCAGAAAUAAUAGCUCACUUAAAGGUUUUAUUUACUUAUAUCCUCAGUUUUGAUCUCUUUGGGACCUCAGUAGUAUGUGUGUGUGUGUGUGUGUGUGUGUGUGUGUGUAUGCAUGCACACAUGUUUAUUUUCUUAUUCCUUUUCAUUGUGUCAGAAAAUGGCAAUAUUUCAUUUCUAAUUGCCCAGAACAUUUUCAACUUCACUUUAAUCCCAGAUUUUUCAGCACUCCAUUCGCCAUCAUCUCCUUAGGCUCUAGAAAUUUAAAAUGUUACUAACAUCUUAGUUCUCUCAAAAUAUAUUAUCUAUUUCUAAUUGAAUGUCUCCAAACAAUAUCAGUAGGGCACUUUGGCAAAUGCUUUAGAAAAAUUAUCUAAUAGUAGAGGUAGAUCAUGUUCCCUUUUCCACUUACUGCCCUUGUUCCUUAAGUAAGGAUGCCAAGAGGACAAUUUAGACAAUUUAUUGUAGGCUAAAAUCAGUAACCUCAUUAAGAUAGGGGUAAAGGAAGGAGUCAGUCACAGUAAUUGAAAACAAAAAGUUGGACUGAAAAACCAAUGUAUUUGGAAACUUCCAAACUUCAACUCUUAUUUCUGAUGGUGUAAUUUAAAAACAUUUUAAGUUUCAAUCUUUCCAACUCUAACACAAAGCAAAUUGUUCCUCCUGACAUAGCCUUUACUGAGGCACAAAGUAUAACAGAACAAAGAAAGGACUCUAGAUAAUAAUCAGUCCUAUGAUACCAUGAGGCAAAAGAAGGGUUAUUUUACAAAGGGAUCAGAAUCUCUGCAUUUAUUGACUAUUAGAAAUUUUUGCAGUCAUUAGCAUGAAAGAAAUCACCCUGCCAAUGAGUGAAGAUUGCUGAAUAGUGAUUUAUUGGCCUUGACAACAUUAGCCUCUGGGACCUUCCAUUUUUCUUUAUGGUACCUAAAUUUACUGAUCCCCUUCAUUCUCUAUUUUCUCUUUAUAUUUGUUUCAGAUUCAAUAUAGUUAUAGUGGAAGAUUGUUUUUAAAUAUCCUAAAUGCAUUAGCCUUGAUUUGUUUUCAGUUUUAUGUCUUUAAUCAGAGUUUUGUAUCAUAAUUCCAAGGAGAAUACAUUUGAAAAAAAUUCAUCUACCCUUCUUACUAUCUUUUAGAUGCAUGUUCCUUGUUUUUAUUUUGUUGGGGUUUUGUUGUUGUUGUUUUGUUUUUGUGUGUGAAAUGUGUCAAGGAAUGGAGUAUAUACUAUAUAUUUGCAUGAAUACCUUUUAACUCUUUAUAACCCACCUUGAACAUUAAAAGGGAGAUUGGCAUGAUAGCACUGUCAUUUUCUUUUUUGGUUCACCCUUCUGCAUCUCUCAUUGGCCAUCUUGAUAUUACAAGCCAAAAAUUAUACAACCUGAUAGAUAAAAACAAUCACCAAGCAAUAAUUUUUUUGAGUUAUUUCAAUACCUUUGUUAAGAUGUGAAUCUUAAACAACACAGGAUAAGCCUCACUGUCUUUAGGAAACUCAAGGCAAGAUUUACUAGAAUUUGCCCUAGGGAUGUAAGAAGAAGAAUUUGGUGAAUAAGGCAGAUUCAAUGGAAAUUGCUCAGAUUAAUGGAGAACUAGGCAGGUCAAUGGUAGUCCAAUCCUGGACUAGAAAUUAGACCAAUGAGAAAAUACAUAGAAGAAUUAUCUUACUUAGAUAUAUAAGAAUUUCCUAUUUUUUAAUAACAAAACUUUUGGCACAUUCUCAACUAUACUUUCUCUAGAGAAGGUGCCACAAGACAACAUCUAGAGUACUAUAUUAGAAGAACAAAGGUGUGGACCAAGAACACAAGAAAAAAUGAAAGAAAGGAAGGCUCCUACCUAGCAAACAGUACUAGAAAAGUAAAUGUCUGAAUUAAGAUGCAUCUUAGGAAUUUGUAAAAGUUCAGUUAAGUGACACUAAAGGAACAACUGAAGGAAAUCAAACACAAACCUGGGUCUCAUCCAGAAAUAUUCUGGUUUCAGUGUUCUAGGAUGUGGAUUAGGCCUUCAGAUUCCUAAAUGCUCUAAAAGUGAUUCAAAUAUGUAGUCAAGGAAGAGAAUAAUUACAACAGAGAAGUGACUUAUUCUACAGAAUAGGAUACAGGAGGGUAGAAAUGCUAAUUAAAUGUUGGGACAUAGAAAUUCUUAGAAAAGACUUGAUGAGAAUGUGGUAGAGGGUUGUUUUUCACGAGUUCUCCCCAAGGCACUGACUUUAGAAAUACCAACAGCAUCUUUAUUCAGGAAUCUGCUGAGGUUGAAUCCCUAACUGAAAAAAAAAAAAAAAGAAAACAUGAAAAGUGGGAUACAUUUUUGGUACGUAGAAUUCUUUAAUUCCAUCACAGGAGGCAAGUGUGAAAGCUAUCAUGUCCAUCUAGAGAAUGCUCUUGGCUGAAAGUUCUUGACCACGAGUCUGUCACCUUAUAGAAUACACACUCAAUGCAGCUUCAGGUGCCAGAAACACAGGACUUGCCAGGAAAUUGGGAAUUCAAAGACUUGGGAUAUGCAGAAAGAAAAAGAAUCUUCAGGUAAGAUCUGGUGACUGGAUUGUCACCAUUAUAUAUUUAUACACUAUUAGAAAUCAGGAAGAAUUCGAGUACUACUCUAAAAGAAGAGAAAUAAUGUUGUCGAAUCAGGGUAGGGGGUUCCUAGUUCAGUGUUUUUCAAUUAGGGUUGGUCAAAAUGACCUGGAGCCCUUGGUAAAUCACUGGUCACUGGGUACCAUCUCUAGCUUCAUUCCUUGGUCUGCAGUGGGACCUGAGUUUUGGCAUUCCUAACUAGCUCUCAGGUAAUGCAGGUCUUCCUGGUCAGGGAUGACACUUAAAGAGCAUUGCCUCUGUCCAAAACCCAUACACUGAACAAACUUUGGGGAAGUCAAAAUAAAUGAUGACACCGUGUUUAACCAAAGUUUGUUGAGUGUAUGGGUUGUGGACAGAGGCAAUGGAUAUGAACUGAUCAACAUCUGAAUGAAGCUAAACCAAGAUUUUUUGUGUGUGUCUUCUGAUUUUCCUCAGGUUUCAUAAAGUCUCUUCUUGGUUCUCUAGCUACACUAUCUACUGGUUUCUGGGAAUAUAAUUUUGCCUAAAUGUAACUAUUUUAGGGAAUAAGGAUUAAUUUGUCCUUUAUAAUGAUGAGGGUAGGGUUCAUGUUAUGGUAAUAUUGUGUGUAUGGUUAAGGCUUCAAAUACGAAGGUUAUAGACAACUUGGUAAUGAAGUAAUACAAUUUGUGUACCAUUGAAUGAACUAUAACUGUAGGAAUCUACUCAGAUAGUAGUUACCAAAAGAAUCCAGCUUGACCUAAGCACUAACUGAGAUGCUCCAACUGAGAUGAAGCAAAGGAAUUGAGGAAGAGGAAUUAUAUAGGCAAGAAUUAUAUAAGGCAAGAAAUCUAAUUUUUUGCCCAAAUCCUUUUAAACUUGUACAAAAUUAGUAUAUUUGCAAGAUGUAUUAGUCUGUUUUUCAUUGCUAUAACAAAAUACUUGAAGUUGAGUGAUAUUAAAGAAACAAGGUUUAUUUAGUUCACAGUUUUGGAGGUUGAAAGUUCAAGAAUAAGAGACCCUAUAUCCUUGAUCUCUAGUGAGGUCCUAGAGGUUGAAUGGUAUUACACUGGGAGCAUGUGCAAAAGAAAGAGAUCACAAGGUGAGUCAAGAAGCCAGAGAGACCACAAAGGAACAUAUCCUGCAUUUUUAUAAAAAUUUUCUUGUGACAACUAACCAAGGUCUCACAAGGACUGGAUUAGUUCUUUCUAAGGGUAGCACCUUCAGUGAUCUAACUAUACUCCACUGGGCCUCACCUCUUUAAAGUCUCUCAUGCAUCUAUCAACACAGGAACUCUUUUGAGGAUAUGCUCAAACCAUGACAGGCAUUAAUCUGUAGUCUUUAGUCUGUCCUCAAAAACUUCAUAGAGGUAGAGGUUAAUUUAUAAAUCUGUGUUAUCUUUACAUUUCUGAAAUUAUAAUGAAAUAUCGUUGUUUAGCAUUUUAUUUCAUUGCAGAACUUCUCAUAGGCUUUUUUUGUCUCGAUAUAAUUGUAUGUAGAACUUACACUGAAAGAAUGAACUCUCAAUCUUGUGGACAGAGAGGACUUUGAGAUAGAUUCAUUGAUGUGUUCUGUGAUCUAUUUCAAAAUCUUCUGGAAUCAAAAUCUACAUACUUAAGAAUUGUGAUGGUAUGGGCCUGGGAACAUGACUAUCCUAAAAAUGGUCUGAUUUCCUCUUUUGGAAGGGAAAGCCCCUCUGGACUUAGUGGCUGAGCCUAAUGCCUUGAUAGAACAUCGUCCUGGAUAAUACGGCGUCAAGGAAAAAGAAUGACUAUGCAGUUCAUCUUCCUUUUUGGGCGAAUUGCCUGCCUGCCAAGAACACAUCCACCAUGCAUUAGAUUUACUGGGACAGGUUUUGUCCUGAGACCCAUGGUUGAUCAGCACUUUCUCCCACUGAUGGGAGUUUGAUUUCUGGAGAUUUCUAUUGAGAAUUCCGUACUAGCUUUGCACUUAUGUCAUAUAUUUCAAGCUAGCCUUUAUCAAUAUUAAGGGGUAUAUUUUGAGAUCUAUUUGUCUGAGUUUCAUUCAUCUCAAACAAUCCUGAAAUGAGGCAAGGCAUAGAGGAAGUAUGUCUCUUAAAGUCUAACACUUAUUUCCUAGAAAAACUUCAAUAUUAUAUGUAUCUCUAUGGGUCACAAUAUAAAACAGUAUGCAUUUUAAUAUGUGCCUGACUAUUGGCUUCAUGUUAUGGUCCCAAAUUUUAUUUUUCCCUUGCUUUUCUUUCAUAAUUAAUUUCCUUCUGUCAUCUCAUGAUGUGAUACAACAUGUAAUAUAUAAUAUAAAAUAUUAUAUUGUUGAGAUAUAAUACAAUAUGGUAUAUAGUAUUAUACUUUCUCUGUCGUUUUAUGUAAUAAAACCAUUGCAUUCAUAUUUAUAUUUUUAUCUUUAUGUAUUUGUGUAUAUAUUACAGCAUGUGUUUUUGCAAAGUGCCCUUAAAUGCUAUAUUUAGAGAAGGUGGGAGAUAAACACACAAGCAAAAUUCUUCAUGUCUCAGAUUAGAUAUCAUGUCCUUGACUAAUGAGAGAUGCAGGGACACAAUUCCCCAGCAUGCAUAUUUUGAGUGAACCCUUAUAAACAUUCCAAUACAUAAUUAUAUCUUGCUUGUGUAUGUGCAUUUUACAUGUAUCAUUUUCCCAUUUCCUCCAUUGUAUUAAAACAAAGACUAAUAGACUGAGAGUAGAGAAUAAUAAGAGGAACUUGAUCUAAUGAAUCCACCCCAAAUCCUGGCUCUCAGCAGGAGAUUGCUAAGUUCUAAACUGAACCAAAACACAAAGGGAGGUUCUCUUUCAUGGUGGCUAAAAUCCCACCCCAUCCAUUAAGGCAUUUGUCAUCACCAGUGUGUAAGCUUCAGUGGCUGUUAAUUGAAUGAUUCCACUGGAAAGUUACUUACAUAUUAAAGCAAGCCCUGUAUUAAACAGCUAGCAUUCUUAUCUUAUUUAAUCCUUAAAAAGUGUGUUAUAAAUAGGAAGCCAAGGCUCAAAGUGGUUGUAUGACUUGUCUGAGGUCACACAGUUGGUGUGAUCCGCUUGGACCCACAUUUACAGACUCUGAUUCCAGAGCCUGUGUUACUCAGCACUGUGACAGAAGGUUUCCAACAAAGAAAUGGAUUACACCCCAAUGCAAUAGUUUUUCCUGCCAUUCUGUACAUUGUACACGUUAACAGUCUGCUUGCCCAGGCAAAGUCAGAUUUAGAAAUAAAUAUCUUCACCUACUUAUUUAGUUGAGGACAACCAUCAUGCCAGUAAAAUUCCUGACCAGUAUGCUCAAGUCUUUAGCAGAUAACAUUAAAUAAAUAAAUAAAUAAAUAAAUAAGUACUUAAAUAAAUAAAUUAGAGGUCUGUUUUCCAUUGUAUUUAUUUAUUAUUGGGGGGAAAGUAUUUGAAACCCUUUGUAUCAUUUGCAGGUUAACUUAAGUACAGACCAAGGUUUUUCUUAAAGUAAUGAAAUUUUGAAUUUAACUGUUUUUCCAAGUUGUUUUACACAGUUGAAUAUUCAAGUCUUGAAACUAUUCCUCAUUGUUACCAUUGUAUCAACAAUUGGCUUUGAAGCUGUUAAAAGGCUCUAUACUAUUCAGCCAAGGUUACUAAAGGUGUACUCUUAUGAGUUUUGCAUGUGGCAAGUAAUUAUGUUAAGCACAUGGAAUUCUGCUUUAAACAUGAAA
Molecule: long non-coding RNA, 8194 nt
Organism: Marmota monax (woodchuck)
Lineage: Eukaryota; Metazoa; Chordata; Mammalia; Rodentia; Sciuridae
Exons: 4
Source: RefSeq, a predicted model, not a curated record